AUGGUCUCUCUGAUAUUCAUCCGGUGCCUCGCAAUAACUCAAUCAAAAACUCGAUAUCUCGAUCCGGUGGCAUGCCUGGUAACUCUUCCGGAAAUACAUCAGGAUAAUCCUUCACCACUGGUACUUCCUCCUGAACAACUCCUGAUAAGGAAUUCACCUGAGUCCUCCUCGGCGCAUGCCUAG
RNAcentral lists this ribosomal RNA (183 nucleotides) under Triticum aestivum (bread wheat). RNAcentral describes it as "partial small subunit ribosomal RNA". Lineage: Eukaryota; Viridiplantae; Streptophyta; Magnoliopsida; Poales; Poaceae. The record is from RNAcentral.